GGCUUGUUGAUAAUAAUUUCAAGUCUGACCUGCCCUAUGAGUGUUUAAAUGGCCGCGGUAAAUUGACCGUGCAAAGGUAGCAUAAUCAUUAGUUUUUUAAUUGGAAGCUGGAAUGAAAGGUUUGAUGAGAAAACAUCUGUCUCUAGAAAAGUUGAUUAGAAUUUUAUUUUUAAGUGAAAAAGCUUAAAUUAUUAUAGAAGACGAGAAGACCCUAUAGAGUUUUAUAUUACAUGGGCAUAGAAAGGUAUAGGAAUUGAAAUUUUUCUAUUUUUGUUAGUAUUUUGUUGGGGUGACAGGAAAAUUAAGUAAACUUUUCUUGGAUUGUGACACUUAUUGGUGGAUUGAUGAUCCUAGUUUUUAGAUUAUAAGAUUAAAUUACCUUAGGGAUAACAGCGUAAUUUUUUUGAGAGUUCUUAUCGAAAAAGAAGUUUGCGACCUCGAUGUUGGAUUAAAAUUAAUUGCUGGUGAAGAGGCUAGUAUAUUGGGUCUGUUCGACCUUUGAAAUUUUACAUGAUCUGAGUUUAAACCGGCGUGAG
This 536-nucleotide ribosomal RNA is filed under the name Trigonopterus sp. 30 AR-2022a. RNAcentral describes it as "partial large subunit ribosomal RNA". It matches the Rfam family "Bacterial large subunit ribosomal RNA", at positions 1819 to 2625 of the family's 2925-position model. The record is from RNAcentral. Lineage: Eukaryota; Metazoa; Arthropoda; Insecta; Coleoptera; Curculionidae.